GUAAAGUAAUAAAUGUUCACUAUAGAAGAAUUUGACAAUACAAAAAAAAAGUUGAGACAAAAAUUUAAAAAUAUGUAGCCUCUAAUGUUCCAAAACACUUGCUAACACUUUAUUUUUCCUUCCCAGCCUUUUUCGUCCUCAUUCGUGCUUCUAGGGAAGGAAGUACAGUGGCUGCCUCUUAAACAGCCAUACUACUAAAUAAAGUAAGUACAUGGGUUUUGUUCUAUCUUUCAAAAUUUAAUGUUAUAAUAUAAGCAUUUUUUCUGUGUUUGAACUUAUUUGCAAUAUGCAUUCAAAGCAGCUAAUUUUUAUGGUGUGACUGAAUAAAGAGUGUAGCUCCAAGUUUUCCCAGACCCAUUAACAGCAAGGAUGUAUAUUAAAAGUAAACAUAAACUUGGGGUUAUUAUUGAUAUUGUGUCUGUAUUUAAUACUUUCAUCAUUGCUGGGAAUUUGGUCUUAUUACUCUAUUUUCUUCCAUUAAAACACACCUGGUUGUUAUGAACACCUGUUAACACAUUGGUAUUUUAUUGUUUUAGGUUUUUGUCUUUGUCACAGUAAUAUGAUAAUUUAGCUUCAAAUCUCCAACAGCAUCUAGCAUAUAUUUUGCAUAUAGUAGCCAUUAAAGAAACCCUUUUUAAACUGGACCUACUUGGAAAGAUUUUAAUUACAAGGAAUAAUGACUUAUCAGGAAUUAAAGAAUCUGUGAAUGAAAUACCAAGUAAAUGUAUUAGUUACUUUCUACCUUUAUAAAAUUUUCAGAUAUGAGUGUGUAUGUGUUUGGCCAUCUCCCAAAAUUAUUUUUGCGUAAUUAUCCUCUCUUUUUCUUUAAAAUACAAUUUAUGAAUUUUUUCAUUAGCAAAGUAAUAAAUGUUCAUUAUGGAAAAUUUCCUACCUAUAGAGAAAAAAGAGCUCUUCAUGGCCCAUGCCUAAUAGUAAUAUGUUUUAGAAAUAAUACUAACAUUCUGAAAUCAUAUAAUUGCCAUUCAGAUUAUUUUUCCAAAAUAAAAGAAAAUAUCUGGUAUAAAAUUUUAAAAUAACUGCUGAUCAAUCAACGAAAUGAAAAGUGAAAAUAAUUAUCUUAAUUUCAACUUACAUCAACUUUAAUCCAUCUGUAAAGUUAACCGCCUUUCCUUUUUAUUAGAAAAGUGAAUUAGUGAGGUAUAUAAAAUGCGGCAUACAUUCCAAAAUGUAUACAAUACAUUCCAAAGUCUCCAUUGAUCCUCUGGGCUUUCCUGCCACUUUCCAUCUGAAUUUUCUGUCCACCAGUCCUUACAAACUAAACCAGUUUCACUGAAGCACAUAAUGCAAACAAACCCCAGGCUCCAUUCUCAGUGAAGACUAAUGAAAACAAGGAAAGCCACAAUCAGAGCUGUAAGAAACACUGACACAAGCUACUGGCUGGCCAAUCUUUAAUCGGUGCUCCUGAGAUUUUUUUUUAAUGAAUGAAGCAUGCUCCCAACAACACUGUGAUCCACACGCACACAAAGACGCCACGUGCUGCUUGGGAGACACGCAAGAGCCGGACACACAGGAGCCUGAGCGUGGUCAUUCUGUGAUCACAGGUAUCUCUGGGACGUGAACGUGAUCAUUUUGGUCACCAGGAAAUGGGUGGCUCUCUGCGUUACCUUUCCCAUAGCUCACAAAAACCAGCCUCUCAACUCAGGAGCUAUGCUAGUUCCAAAGUCACCAGAGUUGAUGACAUCUUAGAAGAAGUAAGCCGGAGGCAGGGGCCAGAUUCUGAAGGAGGAGGCCCUCGCUUCCGGGUGUGUGCUGAAAUGUGUACCAACCCGAAAUGACACUUCCAGGUCCAAAAGGUUGUCUGGAAAUCAUUACAAAUGGCAAAGGACACAGAGAAGUAAACAUAGCUGGAAAUACACAUGAAGAAUGCUAUAAUUUCAAAAGUAUUAUUAUAAAGAUACAAGUAAUUAAAAGGGACAUUUUAUCAGAUUCAUGUCUAUCUCUUCUACGUAUUUUAAAAUCUUAAUACUAAAUAUAAACUAAAUAUGAGCUUCCCCGCUCCCCAUAAUCAAUAAAAUGGGAGUGAGGGAUUUACCUUGAGGAAUUUAGUACAUUGAGGAUUUAAGUUAAAACUGAGUUAAUUUAGCAGCAAUUUAAAAUAUUUCUGCAAUGAAGGAUAACAAUUUUGACAAUUAUACAGUAAGUGUGAACUAAAUAACUACUAAUUCCUUUUGCAGUAGUAAUCAAAAUUAGUGAUUUUCUGACCCACAUUCUAAUUUAGAUCUAGUGAACUGCUAGAAAGUAUUUUAGUGAUGUUAAAAAAAAAUGAUAAAAGAAAGACGAAGUUCCAGUAACAGCAAAUAUUUGCUUAAAAGUUUCACAGCCGACAUAUUUAUCCAUGUAUCCAUUAAACACAUGUUACAAAUAGUUGUUUCAAGAAUACAUCUUCCAGCACCUACUUGAGAUUCUGCUCUGUGGUGAUUAUUUGGUUCAUAGUUCCUGUUUCUGCUCCUCUGGGGUGUUUAUAGUUGAGUAAAACCCUGAUUUAGGGUAGGAUCCAUCCAUAAUCACUUUGGCCCAAGAGAGAUAGCCUCUGAAAAUUUAAAAGACUUAUCAGCAUCUGCCUGUUUACUCAUCAGCAGCCUGCUUCCAAAUACCAUAGCUUCAGCAUCUGCAUGGAAUAAAGCAGCUGUCACCAAAAAAAAAUAUGACUUACUUUCUGCCCUAGACAUACAGUUACUUGUUAGGGAAAUAAAACCAGGUAAGUACUUUGGUUCUCUAAACUAGAACAACAACAAAAUUAUUUUAAAUAUUCAGAAGAGCUAAAGAGUGGGACAUGAAAAGAGAAAACUUCAACACAAUAAAAAAUUAGAUUUGAGUAUUAUAAGAAGAAAAUUAAUCUACAGACAGAUAGUAAGCACUCUAAGAGAAUGAAAUCAAACACAAUCUUGGGAUGCAUGUAAUGAAAUUUUAGAAAUAGAUAACAUAUCACCAUUUCAAAACCCACAGGAUAUAAGCCCUAAAUCCUCUGUACAAUCAGAGAUGUGUGAUCCAGGACCACUUAUGAAAGGAUAUCAAGAAGUAUGAUGAGGUCCCAUUGUGGUUCAGUGGGUUAAGGACUAGAUGUUGUCUCUAUGAGGAUGUGGGUUCAGUCCCUGGCCUCACUCAGUGGGUUAAGGGUCUGGUGUUGCCAUAAGCUCCAGCAUUGGCUGAAGCUGCAGCACCAAUUCAAUCCCUAGCCUGGGAACUUCCUCCAUACACCACGGGUGCGGCCAUAAAAAGAAAACAAAAACCAAAAAACAAAACAAAAAUGUAUAACAAGGGGCCUAAGAAAGGGGAAGUUUGGGAGAUGCCAUUUCAGCUUAUAAUGAGCUCUGCCAAUAUCUGAAGAUGAAAAACAAGUAGUUACAAAACAGAAAAAAAAAAAAAAAGAGUUAAUUAUAGAAUAAAGAGAACAGUGGAGGAAUACAGAGGUAAAGUCAGAAAGGCCCAGAAACAAGCACACCAGCCAAGCCUACUGUGGGCAAGUGGAAGCCAAAAUGCUAAGAUGCCCACUAUCAUUCAUUUUGAAAAUGUAUGAACAAAUUCAUUUUUAGCAGUUGGAAAUGUUAUAUGCUCCCUUUUUCCCUUUAAAUUAUACCGCUACUGAAUUUUAUUCUAAUACAUUUUUAUGCCUCAAAGUCUUAUUGAUCACUCUGCAUAGUUCCUACAACAAAAAAUAUGUAUGAUUUCCAUGGCAACCAAAUUACAUAGACUAUUCCAUUAAGUAGGCUACUUAGGGGAAUUCAGUAAGCAUAAAUGUAUGUCAUCCAAGCUAUAAAACACCCACAUCUCAAAUUCUUACUAUGAAAUUUGUUUUAAAAAAUACAGCGGCCCAAGCCUAAAAUGCUUUCUUACACUACUGAAUAUGACAUAUUUUGGAUAUUAUGUGGGACUAUUUUUCUAUGCUUGAAUUAUGGUCCUGUUGCCUAUUUCAUGUCCUAGAAAUUGCUUUCAGUUUUUGAAGACCCUUUCAGAAAAAUUCAUGACACAUAACUGCAAUAUACCCCACAAACAAUUAAAAGUUGUUCAUAAUUAAAUUAUUUUAAAAAGGUGGUAAUUUUUUAAAACACUUAAAACAUGGUAAUAACUUGACUUUUCCUUAGAGUUUAACUCCAAUAAUUGUGCAAUUAUGUCUUUUAUAUGUUUGGUAUUGCUCUAUUGGAAUAAUUUUAAAGUGUCAUUUUGAAAUAUAAAGGAUAUUUUAUUGCUAAUCCAAAAGUAAAUAAAAAACACUUUUAAAAAGAUCAGAAAAGAGGGAGUUUUGAACAUUUGCACAUUUCUACAGCAGACAUCUAAUAACACUUAUUAACUCACUUUUAAGAAAAAGGUUCCAUUUUAAUUAAAGAUGUUAAGUGUUAGCAAAUUAAAAAAUUAUUAGAUUUUUAUUUCAUAAUAAAGAACAAAGACUCAUUCAUCAAUGUUUAUCUAGUAAUGCCAUAAUCAAGUCCUAACAUACCUAACUUUUAACUUAAUACGAAAUACCUUCAUUAUUUCUGAGAAAUCUGUUGGAGAAACUCAGGUACAUUUGGGGAAAAAACAAUUCUUAGUUUAAUUUGUCUAGGACUGCUUGAAUAAUGAGACUAUAUCAAGACAAAGAUAUCAAGAAGUCAAGACUGUAGUUAUCUCAACAAAAGGUAAAAUAACGGCAUAUUAAAAUAUUUAUGAAAAUUUGUAGAAUUUUCAAUGCUCUAACUUGUUAUAAAAACCACUCAUUUCCACUCCUUCCCCAUGAAAUAGUGAAAGUCAUAGAAGAAUAACUGGAUUAUCAAUUUUUCUUUUUCUUGCUUGUAUUUUCCACAAGUCACUCAAUGACUUAUAAAUGUUUCACAGUUAUGUUUCAAUAUUUCAAAGGCAGGCUGCAGAUAUAAAAUAUUUCAUUGUUAUUUUUCUUGUUAAUCAUGUUUAUUGAGUGAAAGGUAAUGAUAUUAAAAUACAGUAUUUCCCACUUUAAUCAUAAGAAGUAGAUCAGCAUAAUAUUUCCAAUAUUUCCAUAAAUUGUGCAAUAGACACUCAGGAGGAAAAAAAGCAAUAACUUGCUAGACAAUGAAGUAAAGCAAUUAAGCAUCUUUUCUUGAACAAAUCACUCUUUAUAGAAACCAAAGCAGAAAACUGGUAUGAUCAAUGUUAAUGUCUAUGUUUCAUGAAUUUUCUGC
This 5153-nucleotide long non-coding RNA is filed under the name Sus scrofa (pig). RNAcentral's name for it is "lncRNA (ENSSSCG00015009650.1)". The record is from RNAcentral. Lineage: Eukaryota; Metazoa; Chordata; Mammalia; Artiodactyla; Suidae.